CGCGUAGGCGGCUUUAUAAGUCUGGAGUGAAAGUCCUCUUUUCAAGGGAGGAAUUGCUUUGGAAACUAUAGAGCUUGAGUGCAGGAGAGGUUAUCGGAAUUCCCGGUGUAGCGGUGAAAUGCGUAGAUAUCGGGAGGAACAUCGGUGGCGAAGGCGGAUAACUGGACUGCAACUGACGCUGAGGCGCGAAAGUGUGGGGAGCAAACA
RNAcentral lists this ribosomal RNA (207 nucleotides) under uncultured bacterium. Its description in RNAcentral is "partial 16S ribosomal RNA". It matches the Rfam family "Bacterial small subunit ribosomal RNA", at positions 568 to 774 of the family's 1533-position model. The record is from RNAcentral.